GGGGGGAAAUUAAUUAUUUUAAUAAUUAAUAAAAGAAUUUUUAAUAUAAAUUAUUUUAAUGGGGGUUAAAGUAAUUUAUGGAAAAAAUUGAAAAUUUUAUAGUUUAAUAUGGUAUUGUGAAAGAAUUUUGAAAUAUUUGAAAAUUAAUUAUUUUAAAAGUAAAUUUUAUUUAUUGUAUCUUGUGUAUCAGAGUUUAUUAAAUAAAUUUUAUUUAUAUAAAUUUCUCGAAUUUAAAAGAGUUAAUUAAUUAUAAAAGUUAUUGUAGCAAAAAUAUUUUAAAUAAUUAAUUUGAAAUGAAAUGUUAGUCGUUUUUAAAUAUAUCUAGUUUUUAUAGAAAAAAAUUUAAUUUUUAAUAGAUUUAUUAUUUAUGUUAAUUAAAAAUAAUAUAAAUAAAUUUUAUUAAGAUAAUUUAAGGGAUAAUCUUUAAAUUAAAAUUUUAUAAUUAUAUUAAAUUAAAAAAAAAUUUUAUAAUUUAUAUUGUUAAUAAAUUUUAAUUUAUUAUAAAUAAUUUUAUUAAAAGUUAAAAUUUAAUUUAAUUUAAUUUUUUAUAUAAAAAUAAAUUAAAAUAAUAAAAAUUAAGUUAUAAUGAUAAAAUUAGUAAAAUAAAAUUUAUUAAAAUAAUUUAAGUUUAAUUUUAAUUAUAUAAAAGGAAUUCGGCAAAAAUUUAUAUUCACUUGUUUAUCAAAAACAUGUCUUUUUGAUUUAAUAAUUUAAAGUCUAAUCUGCCCACUGAUUAAAAAUUAAAGGGCUGCAGUAUUUUGACUGUACAAAGGUAGCAUAAUCAUUAGUCUCUUAAUUGGUGACUUGUAUGAAAGAUUGGAUGAGAUAUAAACUGUCUCUUAUAUAAAUUAUUUGAAUUUAAUUUUUUAAUUAAAAAGUUAAAAUUUAUUAAAAAGACGAGAAGACCCUAUAGAGUUUUAUAUUUUUAAAAAUUAAUUUUUUUUUUUAUAUUUUAAUAAAUUAAAAUAUUUUAUUGGGGUGAUAGAAAAAUUAAUUAAACUUUUUAUUUAUUAUUACAUAGAUAAGUGAAUAAUUGAUCCAAUUUUAUUGAUUAUAAGAUAAAAUUACCUUAGGGAUAACAGCGUAAUUUUUUUUUUUAGUUCAUAUAAAAAAAAAAGUUUGCGACCUCGAUGUUGGAUUAAGAUAAAAAUUAAAUGUAGAAGUCUAAAUUUUUGAUCUGUUCGAUCAUUAAAAUCUUACAUGAUCUGAGUUCAAACCGGUGUGAGCCAGGUUGGUUUCUAUCUUUUAAAAAAAAAAUAUUUUAGUACGAAAGGAUCAAAUAUUUUAAUUAAAUUAAUAAAUAUUGAAUAUUAUUAAAUAUAAUAAAAGAUUUUAAGUUAAAAAUUUUUAUUGGUUUAU
This 1359-nucleotide ribosomal RNA is filed under the name Ernolatia moorei. Its description in RNAcentral is "16S ribosomal RNA". The record is from RNAcentral. Lineage: Eukaryota; Metazoa; Arthropoda; Insecta; Lepidoptera; Bombycidae.